This 494-nucleotide ribosomal RNA is filed under the name uncultured bacterium. Its description in RNAcentral is "partial 16S ribosomal RNA". It matches the Rfam family "Bacterial small subunit ribosomal RNA", at positions 28 to 507 of the family's 1533-position model. The record is from RNAcentral.
GACGAACGCUGGCGGCGUGCUUAACACAUGCAAGUCGAGCGGAAAGGCCUGCUUUCCCUUGUGGAUUGCGGGUACUCGAGUGGCGAACGGGUGAGUAACACGUGAGUGAUCUGCCCCCAACUUGGGUAUAAGCCUGGGAAACUGGGUCUAAUUCCCGAUAGGACUGCAGGGUGGUGCCUGUGGUGGAAAACGAUUUUCUAGUGGUUGGGGAUGAGCUCGCGGCCUACCAGCUUGUUGGUGGGGUAAUGGCCUACCAAGGCGGCGACGGGUAGCCGGCCUGAGAGGGUGGACGGCCACAUUGGGACUGAGAUACGGCCCAGACUCCUACGGGAGGCAGCAGUGGGGAAUAUUGCACAAUGGGCGGAAGCCUGAUGCAGCGACGCCGCGUGGGGGAUGACGGCCUUCGGGUUGUAAACUCCUUUCGACCGCGAGGAAGCCACCUGGUUGGAAGGGUGGUGACGGUAGUGGUAGAAGAAGCACCGGCUAACUACGUG